RNAcentral lists this ribosomal RNA (588 nucleotides) under uncultured bacterium. RNAcentral describes it as "bacterial SSU rRNA". It matches the Rfam family "Bacterial small subunit ribosomal RNA", at positions 338 to 916 of the family's 1533-position model. The record is from RNAcentral.
CCUACGGGAGGCAGCAGUAGGGAAUCGUCCGCAAUGGACGAAAGUCUGACGGAGCAACGCCGCGUGAACGAUGAAGGCCUUCGGGUCGUAAAGUUCUGUUGUUAGGGAAGAACAAGUGCUAGUUGAAUAAGCUGGCACCUUGACGGUACCUAACCAGAAAGCCACGGCUAACUACGUGCCAGCAGCCGCGGUAAUACGUAGGUGGCAAGCGUUGUCCGGAAUUAUUGGGCGUAAAGCGCGCGCAGGCGGUUUCUUAAGUCUGAUGUGAAAGCCCCCGGCUCAACCGGGGAGGGUCAUUGGAAACUGGGAAACUUGAGUGCAGAAGAGGAAAGUGGAAUUCCAAGUGUGGCGGUGAAAUGCGUAGAGAUUUGGAGGAACACCAGUGGCGAAGGCGACUUUCUGGUCUGUAACUGACGCUGAGGCGCGAAAGCGUGGGGAGCAAACAGGAUUAGAUACCCUGGUAGUCCACGCUGUAAACGAUGAGUGCUAAGUGUUAGAGGGUUUCCGCCCUUUAGUGCUGAAGUUAACGCAUUAAGCACUCCGCCUGGGGAUACGGUCGCAAGACUGAAACUUAAAUGAAAUUGACGG